This 73-nucleotide transfer RNA is filed under the name Malawimonas jakobiformis. RNAcentral describes it as "tRNA-Glu". It matches the Rfam family "tRNA". From Rfam's summary of the family: Transfer RNA (tRNA) molecules are approximately 80 nucleotides in length. The record is from RNAcentral. Lineage: Eukaryota; Malawimonada; Malawimonadea; Malawimonadida; Malawimonadidae.
GUCCCUUUCGUCUAGUGGUUUAGGACAUAGCCUUUUCAUGGCUGUAACGUGAGUUCGAAUCUCAUAAGGGAUA